RNAcentral lists this long non-coding RNA (256 nucleotides) under Malus domestica (apple). RNAcentral's name for it is "long non-coding RNA (MDOM_LNC002768)". Lineage: Eukaryota; Viridiplantae; Streptophyta; Magnoliopsida; Rosales; Rosaceae. The record is from RNAcentral.
AGCAAAUAAGAGUGAUGCUUGAUCUACCAAGGUAGUCCUCUCGGCCGUCAUUUUCGAAGUAAGAAAUGAUUGAUAAUAGGCGUGCUCGGUAUCUACAUAUAUUUUGGGGGUCUCAGAAAUGCGAAAUAAACUACUUGCAAAGUUAGAUCCUAAGUGCUAAGGAAAGUUAACGCUAUAGAUCUACCUAGCCUACUAAGUCAUAAAGAAUGCCCUACUCCACUCUACCAACUAGACUAGCCAAAUUUGGUCCUUGCCG